This 246-nucleotide ribosomal RNA is filed under the name uncultured Lactobacillus sp. RNAcentral describes it as "partial 16S ribosomal RNA". It matches the Rfam family "Bacterial small subunit ribosomal RNA", at positions 116 to 355 of the family's 1533-position model. The record is from RNAcentral. Lineage: Bacteria; Bacillati; Bacillota; Bacilli; Lactobacillales; Lactobacillaceae.
CGUGGGUAACCUGCCCAAGAGAUCGGGAUAACACCUGGAAACAGAUGCUAAUACCGGAUAACAACAGAUGAUGCCUAUCAACUGUUUAAAAGAUGGUUCUGCUAUCACUCUUGGAUGGACCUGCGGUGCAUUAGCUAAUUGGUAGGGUAACGGCCUACCAAGGCGAUGAUGCAUAGCCGAGUUGAGAGACUGAUCGGCCACAUUGGGACUGAGACACGGCCCAAACUCCUACGGGAGGCAGCAGUA